GAAGAAGCACCGGCUAACUCCGUGCCAGCAGCCGCGGUAAUACGGAGGGUGCGAGCGUUAAUCGGAAUUACUGGGCGUAAAGCGCAUGCAGGUGGUUUGUUAAGUCAGAUGUGAAAGCCCCGGGGCUCAACCUCGGAAUUGCAUUUGAAACUGGCAAACUAGAGUACUGUAGAGGGGGGUAGAAUUUCAGGUGUAGCGGUGAAAUGCGUAGAGAUCUGAAGGAAUACCGGUGGCGAAGGCGGCCCCCCUGGACAGAUACUGACACUCAGAUGCGAAAGCGUGGGGAGCAAACAGGAUUAGAUACCCUGGUAG
This 312-nucleotide ribosomal RNA is filed under the name uncultured bacterium. RNAcentral's name for it is "bacterial SSU rRNA". It matches the Rfam family "Bacterial small subunit ribosomal RNA", at positions 484 to 793 of the family's 1533-position model. The record is from RNAcentral.